Molecule: non-coding RNA, 114 nt
Organism: Xenopus laevis (African clawed frog)
Lineage: Eukaryota; Metazoa; Chordata; Amphibia; Anura; Pipidae
Source: Rfam
GUUGGCUAUGGAGACAUGUACCCUAUGACCAUAGGCGGAAAGAUAGUGGGAUCUCUAUGUGCCAUAGCUGGGGUAUUGACCAUUGCCUUGCCAGUUCCUGUUAUAGUAUCAAAU